RNAcentral lists this ribosomal RNA (453 nucleotides) under uncultured Allobrachymonas sp. Its description in RNAcentral is "bacterial SSU rRNA". It matches the Rfam family "Bacterial small subunit ribosomal RNA", at positions 923 to 1382 of the family's 1533-position model. The record is from RNAcentral. Lineage: Bacteria; Pseudomonadati; Pseudomonadota; Betaproteobacteria; Burkholderiales; Comamonadaceae.
GCACAAGCGGUGGAUGAUGUGGUUUAAUUCGAUGCAACGCGAAAACCUUACCCACCUUUGACAUGGCAGGAAUCCCGAAGAGAUUUGGAGUGCUCGAAAGAGAACCUGCACACAGGUGCUGCAUGGCUGUCGUCAGCUCGUGUCGUGAGAUGUUGGGUUAAGUCCCGCAACGAGCGCAACCCUUGCCAUUAGUUGCUACGAAAGGGCACUCUAAUGGGACUGCCGGUGACAAACCGGAGGAAGGUGGGGAUGACGUCAAGUCCUCAUGGCCCUUAUAGGUGGGGCUACACACGUCAUACAAUGGCCGGUACAGAGGGUAGCCAACCCGCGAGGGGGAGCCAAUCCCACAAAGCCGGUCGUAGUCCGGAUCGCAGUCUGCAACUCGACUGCGUGAAGUCGGAAUCGCUAGUAAUCGCGGAUCGGCAUGUCGCGGUGAAUACGUUCCCGGGUCUU